This 542-nucleotide transfer RNA is filed under the name uncultured cyanobacterium. RNAcentral's name for it is "partial miscellaneous RNA". The stretch from base 212 to 284 matches the Rfam family "tRNA". Lineage: Bacteria; Bacillati; Cyanobacteriota. The record is from RNAcentral.
CAGGGAGACAACAAAAUGUUUAAUAUUAUUAUUUUGUCACCUUAGGUCGAUCGGUACCUCUCAUCCUUAAUUUAUUAAGGAUUUCAUUUCCUAAGUUUCUCUAGGUCACACCCAUUAUUUUUCCUGGGCCAUUAGCUCAGGUGGUUAGAGCGCACCCCUGAUAAGGGUGAGGCCCCUGGUUCAAGUCCAGGAUGGCCCAUAUCUCUAUAUUGGGGGUAUAGCUCAGUUGGUAGAGCGCCUGCUUUGCAAGCAGGAUGUCAGCGGUUCGAGUCCGCUUACCUCCACUGAUUACCACCUUUUCCCUUAAUUUAUAGAAAGGAAAUUUUUUGAGUUGUGAUCAAAUUCUGAACGAAUCUAGCUUCCUAAUUCAAUAGUUAAGAUGCUGGAUUCAGUGAAUUAAUUUCAUUGUUUUCAGAGAACCUUGACAACUGCAUAGAUUAUUUUUAAAGACAAUAAGCAUCUUUAAUGAUGCAGAUUUAUUAUUUGUGCAAAUGCAUUAAUAACAAUUCUAUUAAGCUGAUGCUUCAAAUUUUGAAGUUAUU